RNAcentral lists this ribosomal RNA (628 nucleotides) under Telamonia sp. Sal_1161. RNAcentral's name for it is "partial large subunit ribosomal RNA". The stretch from base 385 to 628 matches the Rfam family "Eukaryotic large subunit ribosomal RNA", at positions 665 to 878 of the family's 3401-position model. Lineage: Eukaryota; Metazoa; Arthropoda; Arachnida; Araneae; Salticidae. The record is from RNAcentral. RNAcentral also lists the same sequence under 2 other names.
UCCUGCUGCGGGGCUUCCGUCGUUCCAGACGCAUUUGUCUCUCGUCCGAAGGACGCUGCAGCCGGUUUGGAAGUGCAAGCGCGGCGGCCUGAAGGUCGGGUAAUGGCAGGUGGCCGGCGGCUCGCCUCGUGCGGGUUGUCGGUUGUUAGCCGUCCCGUCAGUGGCUCGUCUCCAGACCGAGGUGUCGCGAGUCCCGUAAGGGACUCUUCGUCUCCACCCCUGAGUUGCGGGACUGGUCGUGGCAAGGGCUCCGUAUUCCCACCGUCGCACUACUAAGGAGUGGGCGGAGGGCUGCGGGUCCCCGUUGGCUGCGACGGACCCGUCGGGGACUUGAGGCUUGCAGCGAGUAGGUCGGUCACCCACCCGACCCGUCUUGAAACACGGACCAAGGAGUCUAACAUGUGCGCGAGUCAAUGGGUCUUGACUAGGCCCAGGGGCGCAAUGAAAGCGAAGGAUUGCCUAGCGCAGUCUGAGUGGGGAUCCCUCUCUCUCGGGAGGGGGCGCACCCACGACCCGUCCUAUCCGGCUCGCCGGUUGGGCGGAGUCUGAGCGUACACGUUGGGACCCGAAAGAUGGUGAACUAUGCCCGGACAGGACGAGGCCAGAGGAAACUCUGGUGGAGGUCCGC